CACAUUGUACACCUUUUUCCCUUUCCAAGUUUCCUUUUUGUCAGACCAACAUUUCACCUUGAAGAAUGUUGAAUUUGCAGAGAGGGCAGGUUGCAUUAAUUCGCAGCCAUCUGCGGAUGCAUCGGUAAUGAAAAUGGUGGUUGCAGGGGAGAGUGCACACCUCCACUCCAUCCUCAUAGCCAUGAAGGCAUAUGCAGCAUUCCUGCAAUGGGUAAGUAUUCAAACCAAAGCUCAGAGUUACGGUCAUGAUUAAAACAUAAGGAAUUAGCAGUAAGAAACAUCAACAAUUAUGUUGUUCAGAAAAACAGCAGGUAUGAGAAGGCUGAAGACCAGAAUAUAUCGGAGUACUCAAACCCAGGUGACUUUCAACCUAAAAUUGGGGGAAAAAAGCCAUAAGAAAUUGAUUAAAGAGUUAAAUACACAAUUACCCAAAGUUAAUUGCUAAGUUAUCAAUUUACGGCUGGCACAUGUUAGCAAAUAUUAACUAAAUUGACAAAUAAAAUGGUUACAUAACACAGACGAAUCUCAACCCAAUUCAUCUGCCAAUUCAACUGUCAAAAAGAGGCACUAUUCCAACAUACAAGGAAUUAGAAUACCAUGCCAAAAGCCAUCUUCAAUCUGCAAGUCAUGAUCAAAUAUUUCCAAAGUCUUACCAUAAAGUCUAUAAUACAUAUGUUAGUAGAUGAUUUUCCAGUAUAGUGAAAUGGCACUUAAGAAGGGUGUUAAGCAUGAUUCCUGAACUACUAAAAGCUGAAUACUGAAGAGUUGACUGACAAUCACACCCCAAGAAAGAAUGCCCACAAAUCCAAAGCUUAGACCACUCAGUCAGUCAAAUGUUAAAUGAUGCACACAUCUAUAACCAACUUGCAGAAGUCAAAAGCAUAAGGAGGACUAUAUUACUUAAUAGCAUAUAGUAUAUCAAACAAAGAGGUCAGUACCCAAAUGCAAAAUAACAUAACAAGCAAUUUAGCCUGUCAAACUUUUGCUUUUGCCAGUUGCUAUAUUCUCGGAAAGUAAUUUUGUUAACUAGACACCAAAAAGAUGCAACUGUAAAAGCUUUAUCUCUGCAUAUGUAAAGACUAAUCCAAGAAAUUUAGAAGGCGACCUUCAUGGUCCAAGUAUACAAAACUAAGUUCUUCAAGUGCUGCAACGUCUUCUCCAAAACCCCACACUUAGGAAACUGUGCAAUUUUCUGCUGUAUAAACUAGAAUCCAUAAAUAAUUUUUGCCACAAAAUGUGCAGCCAGGUCAUCAACCAACUUGAGUGUUUGGAAUAUAAGCUUCGGUGGGGAAUCCUAUGAAAUUCCUACCAAUAGAGCAGAGGAGACAUAUCAAACUUGAUUUUGUACCAGUUCUGUUAAUUGCAACCAUACAGCUUAUGCCAUGAGGAAGCAGAU
Molecule: long non-coding RNA, 1396 nt
Filed under: Coffea arabica (coffee)
Lineage: Eukaryota; Viridiplantae; Streptophyta; Magnoliopsida; Gentianales; Rubiaceae
Description: long non-coding RNA (CARA_LNC004817)
Source: RNAcentral